This 489-nucleotide ribosomal RNA is filed under the name uncultured bacterium. RNAcentral's name for it is "bacterial SSU rRNA". It matches the Rfam family "Bacterial small subunit ribosomal RNA", at positions 28 to 507 of the family's 1533-position model. The record is from RNAcentral.
GAUGAACGCUAGCUACAGGCUUAACACAUGCAAGUCGAGGGGCAGCAUGAACUUAGCUUGCUAAGUUUGAUGGCGACCGGCGCACGGGUGAGUAACACGUAUCCAACCUUCCGUUUACUCAGGGAUAGCCUUUCGAAAGAAAGAUUAAUACCUGAUAGUAUGGUGAGAUUGCAUGAUAACACCAUUAAAGAUUUAUUGGUAAACGAUGGGGAUGCGUUCCAUUAGGUAGUAGGCGGGGUAACGGCCCACCUAGCCUGCGAUGGAUAGGGGUUCUGAGAGGAAGGUCCCCCACAUUGGAACUGAGACACGGUCCAAACUCCUACGGGAGGCAGCAGUGAGGAAUAUUGGUCAAUGGACGAGAGUCUGAACCAGCCAAGUAGCGUGAAGGAUGACUGCCCUAUGGGUUGUAAACUUCUUUAUACGGGAAUAAAGUGAGGCACGUGUGCCUUUUUGUAUGUACCGUAUGAAUAAGGAUCGGCUAACUCCGUG